CGUGUAGGCGGUUGGUCAAGUCUGAUGUGAAAGCCCGGGGCUCAGCUCCGGAAGUGCAUCGGAAACUAACUAGCUGGAGCGCGAUAGAGGAGGGCGGAAUUCCUGGUGUAGCGGUGAAAUGCGUAGAUAUCAGGAGGAACACCGGCGGCGAAGGCGGCCCUCUGGAUCGUUGCUGACGCUGAGACGCGAAAGCGUGGGGAGCAAACAGGAUUAGAUACCCUGGUAGUCCACGCUGUAAACUAUGGGUACUAGGUGUUCGGGGUAUUGACCCCCUGAGUGCCGCAGCUAACGCAUUAAGUACCCCGCCUGGGGACUACGGCCGCAAGGUUAAA
This 332-nucleotide ribosomal RNA is filed under the name uncultured bacterium. Its description in RNAcentral is "bacterial SSU rRNA". It matches the Rfam family "Bacterial small subunit ribosomal RNA", at positions 568 to 898 of the family's 1533-position model. The record is from RNAcentral.